RNAcentral lists this ribosomal RNA (274 nucleotides) under uncultured bacterium. RNAcentral's name for it is "partial 16S ribosomal RNA". It matches the Rfam family "Bacterial small subunit ribosomal RNA", at positions 523 to 796 of the family's 1533-position model. The record is from RNAcentral.
AUACGGAGGGGGCUAGCGUUGUUCGGAAUUAUUGGGCGUAAAGGGCGCGUAGGCGGCUAGGUAAGUUGGACGUGAAAUCCCGCGGCUCAACCGCGGAACUGCGUUCAAAACUGCCUGGCUUGAGUCCCGGAGAGGGUAGCGGAAUUCCCAGUGUAGCGGUGAAAUGCGUAGAUAUUGGGAGGAACACCAGUGGCGAAGGCGGCUACCUGGACGGGUACUGACGCUGAGGCGCGAAAGCGUGGGGAGCAAACAGGAUUAGAUACCCCAGUAGUCC